AUGUCUGGGGCAGUGCCCUGUGAAACAUACUUACAGCAAACCGGAUACAGCCGAACAACUAGAUCAGUUAUUCUGAGUGUUUCUAAACAGAUAUUACUUGCCGAGGAGGUGGCGGUCUAUGAUCUCGGACACCGUCUCCAGGAACAGGUUCUCGCUCGUCCCCGGGAGGACGGCGUCCUCCGCUUCCUGGAUGAUGUCCUCGAUCACAGAGUCUCUAUUCACAGUCUCCCUGCACAGUAUACGUCCUAUGUCAUAGGGUGUGAGGCCUCGCGCCGCGCCCUUCUUCAGGAGCAUGGUGCUGAUGCGCAGGACGCGGGCGCAGCUCGAAGACAGCUCCCACCCGUGGAACCUGAGAAGCUUGAUGUCCUCUUCCGCGUCAAGAGAUUCAAUGUAUGCAAUGGUUUCAUCACUGAACCGCUCACGGGCUUGAGGCCAGUAAAGCCACUCGAAGGUGCAAUCCUCAAACUGCAUAAUAACAAGGCAACGAAAUCAACAUUUGCAUGA
This 504-nucleotide ribosomal RNA is filed under the name Triticum aestivum (bread wheat). Its description in RNAcentral is "partial small subunit ribosomal RNA". The record is from RNAcentral. Lineage: Eukaryota; Viridiplantae; Streptophyta; Magnoliopsida; Poales; Poaceae.